UACAGAGGGGGCAAGCGUUGUUCGGAAUUACUGGGCGUAAAGGGCGCGUAGGCGGCCCGCUAAGUCGAACGUGAAAUCCCCGAGCUCAACUCGGGAACUGCGUCCGAUACUGGCGGGCUUGAAUCCGGGAGAGGGAUGCGGAAUUCCAGGUGUAGCGGUGAAAUGCGUAGAUAUCUGGAGGAACACCGGUGGCGAAGGCGGCAUCCUGGACCGGCAUUGACGCUGAGGUGCGAAAGCUAGGGGAGCAAACGGG
RNAcentral lists this ribosomal RNA (253 nucleotides) under uncultured bacterium. Its description in RNAcentral is "partial 16S ribosomal RNA". It matches the Rfam family "Bacterial small subunit ribosomal RNA", at positions 524 to 776 of the family's 1533-position model. The record is from RNAcentral.